UGGGGAAUAUUGGACAAUGGGGGCAACCCUGAUCCAGCCAUGCCGCGUGUGUGAAGAAGGCCUUAGGGUUGUAAAGCACUUUCAGUGGGGAGGAAAAGUUGACGGCUAAUACCCGUCAACCCUGACGUUACCUGCAGAAGAAGCACCGGCAAACUCCGUGCCAGCAGCCGCGGUAAUACGGAGGGUGCGAGCGUUAAUCGGAAUUACUGGGCGUAAAGCGCGCGUAGGCGGCCUGUUAGGCUGGAUGUGAAAGCCCUGGGCUCAACCUAGGAACUGCAUUCGAAACUAAGGGACUUGAGUAUGGGAGAGGGAAGUGGAAUUCCUGGUGUAGCGGUGAAAUGCGUAGAUAUCAGGAGGAACACCGGUGGCGAAGGCGACUUCCUGGACCAAUACUGACGCUGAGGCGCGAAGGCGUGGGGAGCAAACAGGAUUAGAUACCCUGGUAGUCCACGCAGUAAACGGUGAACACUAGGUGUAGCGGGUAUUGACCCCUGCUGUGCCGCAGCUAACGCAUUAAGUGUUCCGCCUGGGGAGUACGAUCGCAAGAUUA
RNAcentral lists this ribosomal RNA (550 nucleotides) under uncultured bacterium. Its description in RNAcentral is "bacterial SSU rRNA". It matches the Rfam family "Bacterial small subunit ribosomal RNA", at positions 355 to 896 of the family's 1533-position model. The record is from RNAcentral.